UAGCCAACAAGUAUAUUUAAAUAUAUAUGUGUUGUUCACUUUUUACAGAAGACAGCAUUUGACCCGAGAAGUGCAAAGGUGUAAUUAGAGGGGGUAGUCGGUGAAUGUCAAGUCCAUCACAGUUGGCCUCAGUUAUGCACUGAAUGUCCAUCCUCAGUUCCCUCAUUGAAGUAUUAAGCUUCUCUGCAAACAUAUUUGGAGGUAAAUGUGAGAGUGACAAAAAGCUGACCACAACGAACACCUUGUCCUUCCCUUCUGCCCUCUGUCCUGGAGAACAUCAGCAAAACAGGUAGCCAGCCUUCACCACACACUGGAUCCACUUGCACCUUCAGUUGAACUUUAUUUCUGUAACAAUGAGGAAUGAAUGCUUACAGUGUAAGCCGUUCAUCUCAAGAACACAUCGGAUUACACCUGAACAGACUGGGUAAACUUCCUACCUAGAGUUCUGCUCCCUCCACUCUAAAGAAGCUCGGCAGCCCAGACCGUCUACUCCUCAUGACCAAGCACUGCCUCAGAAGCAUCAACUUCUCUGGGAUCAGUUCCUAGGCUUCUGAAUCCCUAUCUCUAGAGACACGCCCCUUAACCUCCUAUUUUUGCUGUGAGUAAAACCUUCUAUGUCUACUGGCUUUGAACUUCAGCUCAGCAGACACCAAUCAUAAAGCAGACUUUAAAAAUGAUAUGUUCUGAUGCUUUGGACUUUCUUAUUCUUGGUUAAUACUUUUUACAAUAAAAUGGGAGUUACAGAUUAAACGAUUAUGAAAGUUGCUCUACCUGUUUCCCUGACUAACUCUUUCAAUUGCAGAUCCAUAAGAAUAAUUUAAAUUCUCUAUAUUUAUACAUGAGGUCAGAACCGCAGUUUCCACCUGGGUGACCUCCUGAGUCCCAAAUGGAGCUACAUGGGACUACCUGGUAGUCAGUUCACAAGCAGGCAUGUUAGAAGGUAUUUCUUACAAUGUUCUUUCCACUCCGGCUGGAGGAUUGACAGCCAGCAAGACAAGCCGACGCAUAGGUAAUCCCAUUGUCCCCACACAUGGGCUCCCAUUUUGAGUCUGAACAUUUGCAUCUUGAGUUGCAAUCUGAAAAGAGAGCUCGUUCAUGAUAAGAGACAGGUUU
This is a long non-coding RNA of Rattus norvegicus (Norway rat), 1113 nucleotides long. RefSeq lists it as uncharacterized. The record is from RefSeq and is a predicted model, not a curated record. NCBI's taxonomy places the organism in Eukaryota, Metazoa, Chordata, Mammalia, Rodentia, Muridae.